UUUCCGGUUGAUCCCGCCGGACCCGACUGCUAUCGGAUUGAUACUAAGCCAUGCGAGUCUUUGUAGUAAUACAAGGCAGACGGCUCAGUAACACGUAGUCAACCUACCCUAUGGACAAGAAUAAUCUCGGGAAACUGGGCAUAAUUCUUGAUAGAUCAUAAUGCCUGGAAUGGUUUAUGGUUAAAAUGAUUCGUCGCCAUAGGAUGGGACUGCGGCCUAUCAGCUUGUUGGUGAGGUAAUGGCCCACCAAGGCGAUUACAGGUACGGGCUCUGAGAGGAGAAGCCCGGAGAUGGGUACUGAGACACGGACCCAGGCCCUAUGGGGCGCAGCAGGCGAGAAAACUUUGCGAUGUGCGAAAGCACGACAAGGUUAAUCCGAGUGAUUUCUGCUAAAGAAAUCUUUUGCCAGUCAUAAAACCACUGGUGAAUAAGGGGUGGGCAAGUUCUGGUGUCAGCCGCCGCGGUAAAACCAGCACCUCAAGUGGUCAGGAUGAUUAUUGGGCCUAAAGCAUCCGUAGCCGGCUUUGUAAGUUUUCGGUUAAAUCCAUGUGCUCAACGCAUGGGCUGCCGAAAAUACUGCAUGGCUAGGGAGUGGGAGAGGUAGACGGUACUCAGUAGGAAGGGGUAAAAUCCUUUGAUCUAUUGAUGACCACCCGUGGCGAAGGCGGUCUACCAGAAC
RNAcentral lists this ribosomal RNA (679 nucleotides) under uncultured archaeon. RNAcentral describes it as "bacterial SSU rRNA". It matches the Rfam family "Archaeal small subunit ribosomal RNA", at positions 1 to 686 of the family's 1478-position model. The record is from RNAcentral.